GAACACAGUUAUUUUGUCUGCGAAUACAGUAAAUAGAACUGUGCACACAGUUAAACGUUAUUAGGAAAUUGUUGUAGAAGUGGUUGGGAUGAGGUUGUAAAAGGGAAUAAACACUCAAUCUAGAUUGGCACAUCCCAAAAUGAAGCAGUGAACUCCUAUUUUUGAUGAGUAGAAGGUUUAGUAAUAUUUGAACACCGUUAUUCUAUCCCGGAACAUAGUUAUUUCAACUAUGCACACAGUUUAUUUGUUGGAAAGCAUAAUUAAAUUAACUGCGAACACAGUUAAUAAAACUGCGCACACAGUUAAGUAUUAUUCUGAAAUUGUUGAAAGUGGUUUGAGAUGGGGUACUAAAACGGAGUAAACACUAAAUCUACAUUGCUACAUCUCUUAAUAAAAUAGUGAACACCUAAUUUUGAUGAAUAGAAGGUUUGGCAAAGUUUGAAGACUGUUAUUCUACCCCGAAAUACAGUUACUUCAAUUAUGCACACAAUAAGUUCUACUCUGCACACAGUUUCUUUGUUUCCGAACACAGAUAAAUUAACUGCGAACAUAGUUAAUUAAACUGUGCACCCAGUUAAGUGAUAUUCAGAAAAUGUUGCAUAAGAUAGCACGCCGAAUUUUAUGAAACUCCGAUACACUUUUAAGCAUAGGAAUAAUAGUAUCUGAAACUGUAAUACACGAUUUAAGCAUUUGUUAUUGCUUCCAUGGAAUAAUUUCCAAAAAUGGCACACAGAGGAUUUUGAAACUCCAAUACGCUUUUAAGGAAAAUGGCAUGCUGCAAUUUCUGAAAUUCUGGAACUAUAAUUAUUGAUAUCCAAAAUGAUAAUGGGACCUAACUGAAUUCCCAAAAUGGCACGCUCAUUUUUCUGAAACUCUGUUACGCUUUUAAGCACUUGAACUAUUUUGGCACAAGAUUUAAGC
Molecule: long non-coding RNA, 921 nt
Filed under: Phoenix dactylifera (date palm)
Lineage: Eukaryota; Viridiplantae; Streptophyta; Magnoliopsida; Arecales; Arecaceae
Description: long non-coding RNA (PDAC_LNC008303)
Source: RNAcentral